RNAcentral lists this ribosomal RNA (327 nucleotides) under Triticum aestivum (bread wheat). RNAcentral's name for it is "partial small subunit ribosomal RNA". The record is from RNAcentral. Lineage: Eukaryota; Viridiplantae; Streptophyta; Magnoliopsida; Poales; Poaceae.
AUGGCCCAGAUCGAGCUCUCUGUGGCGUCGCCCCGCGCCCUCACGGAGCUCGGCGGCGACAGCCUCCUCAACGGCAGCGGCAGUCCGCCCUGGGAACGCGCAUCCCCGUCCGACUGGGUUGGUAAGGUCGACAGCAUGCAGCGCCUCGCCCUCUCGUCCCGCCUCGGCGUCCCCAUCAUCUACGGCAUCGAUGCCGUCCACGGCAACAACAAUGUCAUCGGCGCCACCAUCUUGCCCGACAACGUCGGCCUCGGAGCCUCCAGGCACAUUACAUACCGAUCGACCACGUUGAGCAAUAUAGUAGCUUUUGUACGUUUACUAUGUUGA